CCUACGGGAGGCCGCAGUGAGGAAUAUUGGUCAAUGGACGAGAGUCUGAACCAGCCAAGUAGCGUGAAGGAUGACUGCCCUAUGGGUUGUAAACUUCUUUUAUAUGGGAAUAAAACGUUCCACGUGUGGGAUUUUGUAUGUACCAUAUGAAUAAGGAUCGGCUAACUCCGUGCCAGCAGCCGCGGUAAUACGGAGGAUCCGAGCGUUAUCCGGAUUUAUUGGGUUUAAAGGGAGCGUAGGUGGAUUGUUAAGUCAGUUGUGAAAGUUUGCGGCUCAACCGUAAAAUUGCAGUUGAAACUGGCAGUCUUGAGUAAAGUAGAGGUGGGCGGAAUUCGUGGUGUAGCGGUGAAAUGCUUAGAUAUAACGAAGAACUCCGAUUGCGAAGGCAGUUCACUGGACUGCAACUGACACUGAGGCUCGAAAGUGUGGGUAUCAAACAGGAUUAGAUACCCGAGUAGU
Molecule: ribosomal RNA, 459 nt
Filed under: uncultured bacterium
Lineage: Bacteria
Description: partial 16S ribosomal RNA
Rfam family: Bacterial small subunit ribosomal RNA
Source: RNAcentral